RNAcentral lists this ribosomal RNA (253 nucleotides) under uncultured bacterium. Its description in RNAcentral is "partial 16S ribosomal RNA". It matches the Rfam family "Bacterial small subunit ribosomal RNA", at positions 524 to 776 of the family's 1533-position model. The record is from RNAcentral.
UACAGAGGGUGCGAGCGUUAAUCGGAAUUACUGGGCGUAAAGCGCACGUAGGUGGCGACGUAAGUCGGGUGUGAAAGCCCCGGGCUCAACCUGGGAAUUGCAUUCGAGACUGCAUUGCUGGAGUACGGAAGAGGAAGGCGGAAUUCCCGGUGUAGCGGCGAAAUGCGUAGAUAUCGGGAGGAACAUCAGUGGCGAAGGCGGCCUUCUGGUCCAGUACUGACACUCAAGUGCGAAAGCGUGGGGAGCAAACAGG